UGCAGCAACGCCGCGUGAGUGAUGACGGCCUUCUCGGGUUGUAAAGCUCUGUCUUUAGGGACGAUAAUGACGGUACCUAAGGAGGAAGCCACGGCUAACUACGUGCCAGCAGCCGCGGUAAUACGUAGGUGGCAAGCGUUGUCCGGAUUUACUGGGCGUAAAGGGAGCGUAGGUGGAUUCUUAAGUGAGAUGUGAAAUACCCGGGCUUAACUUGGGUGCUGCAUUUCAAACUGGAAUCUAGAGUGCAGGAGAGGAAAGUGGAAUUCCUAGUGUAGCGGUGAAAUGCGUAGAGAUUAGGAAGAACACCAGUGGCGAAGGCGACUUUCUGGACUGUAACUGACACUGAGGCUCGAAAGCGUGGGAGGCAAACAGGAUUAGAUACCCUGGUAGUCCACGCCGGUAAACGAUGGAUACUAGGUGUGGGAGGUAUCAACUCCUUCCGUGCCGCCGUUAACACAUUAAGUAUCCCGCCUGGGGAGUACGGUCGCAAGAUUAAAACUCAAAGGAAUUGACGGGGACCCGCACAAGCAGCGGAGCAUGUGGUUUAAUUCGAAGCAACGCGAAGAACCUUACCUAGACUUGACAUCUCCUGAAUUACUCUUAAUCGAGGAAGUCCCUUCGGGGACAGGAAGACAGGUGGUGCAUGGUUGUCGUCAGCUCGUGUCGUGAGAUGUUGGGUUAAGUCCCGCAACGAGCGCAACCCUUAUUGUUAGUUGCUACCAUUUAGUUGAGCACUCUAGCGAGACUGCCCGGGUUAACCGGGAGGAAGGUGGGGAUGACGUCAAAUCAUCAUGCCCCUUAUGUCUAGGGCUACACACGUGCUACAAUGGCUGGUACAAAGAGAAGCAAGACCGUGAGGUGGAGCAAAACUCAAAAACCAGUCCCAGUUCGGAUUGUAGGCUGAAACUCGCCUACAUGAAGCCGGAGUUGCUAGUAAUCGCGAAUCAGCAUGUCGCGGUGAAUACGUUCCCGGGUCUUGUACACACCGCCCGUCACACCAUGAGAGUUGGCAAUACCCGAAGUCUGUGAGCUAACCUGUAAAGGGGGCAGCGGCCGAAGGUAGGGUCAGCGAUUGGGGUGAAGUCGUAACAAGGUAGCCGUAGGAGAACCUGCGGCUGGAUCACCU
This 1126-nucleotide ribosomal RNA is filed under the name Clostridium fallax. RNAcentral describes it as "bacterial SSU rRNA". It matches the Rfam family "Bacterial small subunit ribosomal RNA", at positions 387 to 1528 of the family's 1533-position model. Lineage: Bacteria; Bacillati; Bacillota; Clostridia; Eubacteriales; Clostridiaceae. The record is from RNAcentral.